GAAAUUUCAUCCGCACUAGUGAUAGCUAGUUUCCCUGGAAAGAUAUAAAAGUGUCCCGAAAAGUUUAAUUUAUAAUAUUAAUUAUUAUAUAUAUACCCUUUUUUAUUAAUUUUUUGGAGGAUAAGCCCAGAGAAAAGUUAAGAUAUUCUUCGCUAAAAUUACUAUGUGGGCUUCCAAUUGGCCACCACCAAAAGUUUGUUAUAAAAUAGUAAUCUUCACUUCGAAAAUAAAUAUAUUUUAAUCUAAAUUAUUACAGGGAUAAGAACUUUAAUUAAAAUAAGUUUUAUGCCUAUGCUAGAAUGAGUAUUAAAACCUAAUUAUAAAAGAAGCAUUAGUUUAAUUUUUCUUCAAAAAAUCAAAUCAAAAAAAAUUAAUUAAUUAGAAGGAAUUCAGCAAGUUUAGUUGUCCGCCUGUUUAUCAAAAACAUGGCUCUUUGCUUAUAUAAAUAUAAAGAGUCGAGCCGGCCC
Molecule: ribosomal RNA, 467 nt
Filed under: Semisulcospira libertina
Lineage: Eukaryota; Metazoa; Mollusca; Gastropoda; Semisulcospiridae
Description: partial 16S ribosomal RNA
Source: RNAcentral